AGGGGAGGGAGGAGAGUGGGGAACCCAGAAGCUUGGAUCCCAGCAGCGAGAGAUCGGUCGGGGCCAUAGAGCUGGCCUUCAAUACAGGCUCCAGAGCCACCUGCUGGGCCUCCAUCUCCCUCCGAGCCUGCUCAAGGAUGGAGCGAAUGUUCUCGUCAGAGUUGCUGGAGGAGGACGGAGGCUGAGAACUCUCAACUGCAGGAACAGAAGACAACAUAUUCCAGGCCAGAGAUUGAGAAGAAACAGACCAGCACAACAAAAACAUACAGACACAGCGGAUCUGACACUCCAGAAACCCGUAACACGAGAGGGAAGGCGUGAGACAGACCUGGCCGCGUGGAGCCUUCCGAGCCGGUUCUUCGCUUCGGAACAUCCUGAAACACUCUGUUCAGGUUCUGGCCUGGGUUCUCUGUUGGAAAACAAGUGGCGGAAGAUAGAAAUAAAUACAGGCAUGCAGAGAAUCACUCUUACCAUUUCUGGUGCUUUCUGGAUCUGAUUGGAUGGUUGCAGGGUCUUGCCAGCUGAAGUGAGCUGCUCCCUCAGACUCACGGCCUCCCUCUCUGCCGCCUCGGCCCUCUGUGGGCCACAAACAGAACAAAUGGGUGAAAAAUUGCCAUGGUUGAGGAUUCAUAACCAUUAUAUCAACCGACGUUUAUGAAUUGUGAAGACUGGGAGCUAAAAGAUCACAGGCCUGUUUUUAUGUGGCUGGGCUGAAAAAUGUUAACUGAACUCACAUGGGUGCUACUUGGCUGAGUGCUCUAGUAUUCAAGCUAAAGUAUGUCAAGGUAUGUACGGUUGGUUGAGUCACAGAAUAUGCAAAUCACACAGAAUUCAUUUUAAAUAAAGAUUGUGGUGUUAAUUCAUUUGCUGCCCAAGAAUGGAUGCCUGACCUAAAGACAAACGGCUGGAUUCAUGAUGAGACUUCAAAAGUUAAAUAUAUUGUAAAAGCUGCUUAAAGCAUUCAACCUUUAGCUGCACCGAAUUCAACACCACCAUCUUUAUGCAUUUAUGGUAAUGACAAGCUUAAUUAUGCUAAUUUAUUCUAAACGUCUACGUAACAAGUCUUACCAAAUGUUCUUUUUUCUGUUGAUUGGAAUAAUAAUGCUAAUGAAAACAAUGAUUAUAAACUUUUUAC
This is a long non-coding RNA of Ctenopharyngodon idella (grass carp), 1135 nucleotides long. RefSeq lists it as uncharacterized. The record is from RefSeq and is a predicted model, not a curated record. Lineage: Eukaryota; Metazoa; Chordata; Actinopteri; Cypriniformes; Xenocyprididae. The transcript is spliced from 3 exons.